RNAcentral lists this ribosomal RNA (292 nucleotides) under uncultured bacterium. Its description in RNAcentral is "partial 16S ribosomal RNA". It matches the Rfam family "Bacterial small subunit ribosomal RNA", at positions 505 to 796 of the family's 1533-position model. The record is from RNAcentral.
GUGUCAGCCGCCGCGGUAAUACGUAGGGUGCGAGCGUUGUCCGGAAUUAUUGGGCGUAAAGAGCUCGUAGGCGGUUUGUUGCGUCGGCCGUGAAAACUUCACGCUUAACGUGGAGCUUGCGGUCGAUACGGGCAGACUUGAGUUCGGUAGGGGAGACUGGAAUUCCUGGUGUAGCGGUGAAAUGCGCAGAUAUCAGGAGGAACACCGGUGGCGAAGGCGGGUCUCUGGGCCGAUACUGACGCUGAGGAGCGAAAGCGUGGGGAGCGAACAGGAUUAGAAACCCUCGUAGUCC